AACCUUUGUGAUUCAUAAUAUGAUGUUUGGGUGUUCACACCAUUAUAUGAGCUAUUCCUCCCUUAAAUCUUGUUAGGCUGUGGUUAUAUUACUGGUCUGUUG
Small nucleolar RNA from Urocitellus parryii (Arctic ground squirrel), 102 nucleotides. RefSeq annotates it as small nucleolar RNA U13. Lineage: Eukaryota; Metazoa; Chordata; Mammalia; Rodentia; Sciuridae. The record is from RefSeq and is a predicted model, not a curated record.